This 2856-nucleotide ribosomal RNA is filed under the name human metagenome. RNAcentral describes it as "bacterial LSU rRNA". It matches the Rfam family "Bacterial large subunit ribosomal RNA". The record is from RNAcentral.
UCAAGUAAUGAAGUGCACAUGGUGGAUGCCUUGGCAGUCAGAGGCGAUGAAAGACGUGAUAGCCUGCGAUAAGCGUCGGUGAGGUGGCAAUAUCCUGUGACCCGGCGAUUUCUGAAUGGGGAAACCCAACCAACACAAGUUGGUUAUUACACAGUUUACUGUGUAAGGCAAACCGGGAGAAGUGAAACAUCUCAGUACCCCGAGGAAAAGACAUCAAAUGAGAUUCCGUAAGUAGCGGCGAGCGAACACGGAGGAGCCGAUCAAUUUUACAGUAGCAAAAUGGCGUGGGAAAGCCAACCAUAGUAGGUGAUAGUCCUGUAUGCGAAACUGUUUAAGCGACAUAUUAAGUAGGGCGGAACACGAGAAAUUCUGUCUGAAGAUGGGGGGACCAUCCUCCAAGGCUAAAUACUCCUGACUGACCGAUAGUGAACCAGUACCGUGAGGGAAAGGCGAAAAGAACCCCUGUUAGGGGAGUGAAAUAGAACCUGAAACCGUGUGCAUACAAGCAGUCGGAGCGGACUUGUUCCGUGACGGCGUACCUUUUGUAUAAUGGGUCAGCGACUUAUAUUCUGUAGCAAGGUUAACCGAAUAGGGGAGCCGUAGGGAAACCGAGUCUUAAUAGGGCGAAUGAGUUGCAGGGUAUAGACCCGAAACCGAGUGAUCUAUCCAUGAGCAGGUUGAAAGUGCCGUAACAGGCACCGGAGGACCGAACCCACUGUCGUUGAAAAGCCAGGGGAUGACUUGUGGAUAGGGGUGAAAGGCUAAUCAAACUCGGUGAUAGCUGGUUCUCCCCGAAAGCUAUUUAGGUAGCGCCUCGGACGAACACCAUUGGGGGUAGAGCACUGUUUCGGCUAGGGGGUCAUCCCGACUUACCAAACCGAUGCAAACUCCGAAUACCGAUGAGUGAUAUCCGGGAGACAGACGGCGGGUGCUAACGUCCGUCGUCAAGAGGGAAACAACCCAGACCGCCAGCUAAGGCCCCAAAUUCCUAGUUAAGUGGGAAACGAUGUGGGAAGGCACAGACAGCUAGGAGGUUGGCUUAGAAGCAGCCACCCUUUAAAGAAAGCGUAAUAGCUCACUAGUCGAGUCGGCCUGCGCGGAAGAUGUAACGGGGCUCAAACUAGGAGCCGAAGCUGCGGAUUUAAUUGUUUCAAUUAAGUGGUAGGGGAGCGUUGUGUAAGCCUGUGAAGGUGCACUGUAAGGUGUGCUGGAGGUAUCACAAGAGCGAAUGCUGACGUGAGUAACGACAAAACGGGUGAAAAGCCCGUUCGCCGGAAGACCAAGGGUUCCAGUCCAACGUUAAUCGGGGCUGGGUGAGUCGACCCCUAAGGCGAGGCCGAAAGGCGUAGUCGAUGGGAAAUCGGUUAAUAUUCCGAUACUUGUUUAUGAUGCGAUGGAGGGACGGAGAAGGUUAUGCCAGCCUGGCGAUGGUUGUCCAGGUGGAAGGAUGUAGUUAGACUGAGUAGGCAAAUCCGCUCGGUUAUUAAUGAGAUCUGAUAGCAAGCCAGUUUACUGGCGAAGUGGCAAAUACCCUGCUUCCAGGAAAAGCUUCUAAGCGAUAGUCAUAAACGAAUCGUACCCGAAACCGACACAGGUGGUCAGGUAGAGAAUACCAAGGCGCUUGAGAGAACUCUGCUGAAGGAACUAGGCAAAAUGGUACCGUAACUUCGGGAGAAGGUACGCUGCCGAUGGUGAUGAAACUUGCUUUCUGAGCUGUUGGCAGUCGCAGAUACCAGGCUGCUGCAACUGUUUAUUAAAAACACAGCACUCUGCAAACACGAAAGUGGACGUAUAGGGUGUGAUGCCUGCCCGGUGCUGGAAGGUUAAUUGAUGGGGUUAGCGUAAGCGAAGCUCUUGAUCGAAGCCCCAGUAAACGGCGGCCGUAACUAUAACGGUCCUAAGGUAGCGAAAUUCCUUGUCGGGUAAGUUCCGACCUGCACGAAUGGCAUAAUGAUGGCAGCGCUGUCUCCAGCAGAGACUCAGUGAAAUCGAAAUCGCAGUGAAGAUGCUGUGUACCCGCGGCUAGACGGAAAGACCCCGUGAACCUUUACUACAGCUUUACAUUGAACUUUGACCUAACUUGUGUAGGAUAGGUGGGAGGCUUUGAAGCAGAUACGCCAGUAUCUGUGGAGCCAACCUUGAAAUACCACCCUGGUUAUGUUGGGGUUCUAACUUGGAUAUAACAGUAUCAAGGACAAUGUAUGGUGGGUAGUUUGACUGGGGCGGUCUCCUCCUAAAGAGUAACGGAGGAGUACGAAGGUGCGCUCAGAACGGUCGGAAAUCGUUCAAAGAGUAUAAAGGCAAAAGCGCGCUUAACUGCGAGACCCACAAGUCGAGCAGGUACGAAAGUAGGUCUUAGUGAUCCGGUGGUUCUGUAUGGAAGGGCCAUCGCUCAACGGAUAAAAGGUACUCUGGGGAUAACAGGCUGAUACCGCCCAAGAGUUCAUAUCGACGGCGGUGUUUGGCACCUCGAUGUCGGCUCAUCUCAUCCUGGGGCUGAAGCAGGUCCCAAGGGUAUGGCUGUUCGCCAUUUAAAGAGGUACGCGAGCUGGGUUUAGAACGUCGUGAGACAGUUCGGUCCCUAUCUACCGUGGGCGUUGGAAAUUUGAGAGGAUCUGCUCCUAGUACGAGAGGACCAGAGUGGACGAACCUCUGGUGUUUCGGUUGUCACGCCAGUGGCAUUGCCGAGUAGCUACGUUCGGAUGGGAUAACCGCUGAAAGCAUCUAAGCGGGAAGCCCACCUCAAGAUAAGAUUUCCCUAAGAGCCGUUGUAGACUACGACGUUGAUAGGUUGGGUGUGGAAGUGUAGUGAUACAUGUAGCUAACCAAUACUAAUUGCUCGUUUGGCUUGACCAU